UACGGGGGGGGCAAGCGUUGUUCGGAAUUACUGGGCGUAAAGGGCUUGUAGGUGGCCAACUAAGUCAGACGUGAAAUCCCUCGGCUCAACCGAGGAAUUGCGCCCAAAACUACCGUGCUUGAGGGAGACAGAGGUGAGCGGAACUAAGGGUGGAGCGGUGAAAUGCGUUGAUAUCCUUAGGAACACCGGUGGCGAAAGCGGCUCACUGGGUCUCUUCUGACGCUGAGGCACGAAAGCUAGGGGAGCGAACGGG
This 253-nucleotide ribosomal RNA is filed under the name uncultured bacterium. Its description in RNAcentral is "partial 16S ribosomal RNA". It matches the Rfam family "Bacterial small subunit ribosomal RNA", at positions 524 to 776 of the family's 1533-position model. The record is from RNAcentral.